Molecule: ribosomal RNA, 425 nt
Filed under: uncultured bacterium
Lineage: Bacteria
Description: bacterial SSU rRNA
Rfam family: Bacterial small subunit ribosomal RNA
Source: RNAcentral
UGGGGAAUAUUGGACAAUGGGCGAAAGCCUGAUCCAGCCAUGCCGCGUGUGUGAAGAAGGUCUUCGGAUUGUAAAGCACUUUAAGUUGGGAGGAAGGGCAGUAAGUUAAUACCUUGCUGUUUUGACGUUACCAACAGAAUAAGCACCGGCUAACUUCGUGCCAGCAGCCGCGGUAAUACGAAGGGUGCAAGCGUUAAUCGGAAUUACUGGGCGUAAAGCGCGCGUAGGUGGUUCAGCAAGUUGAAGGUGAAAUCCCCGGGCUCAACCUGGGAACUGCCUCCAAAACUACUGAGCUAGAGUACGGUAGAGGGUAGUGGAAUUUCCUGUGUAGCGGUGAAAUGCGUAGAUAUAGGAAGGAACACCAGUGGCGAAGGCGACUACCUGGACAGGUAUUGACGCUGAGGUGCGAAAGCGUGGGGAGCAAA